UGCACAUAUUGUGAGCUCGAUGAGUAGGGCGGGACACGUGGUAUCCUGUCUGAAUAUGGGGGGACCAUCCUCCAAGGCUAAAUACUCCUGACUGACCGAUAGUGAACCAGUACCGUGAGGGAAAGGCGAAAAGAACCCCGGCGAGGGGAGUGAAAAAGAACCUGAAACCGUGUACGUACAAGCAGUGGGAGCACGCUUAGGCGUGUGACUGCGUACCUUUUGUAUAAUGGGUCAGCGACUUAUAUUCUGUAGCAAGGUUAACCGAAUAGGGGAGCCGAAGGGAAACCGAGUCUUAACUGGGCGUUAAGUUGCAGGGUAUAGACCCGAAACCCGGUGAUCUAGCCAUGGGCAGGUUGAAGGUUGGGUAACACUAACUGGAGGACCGAACCGACUAAUGUUGAAAAAUUAGCGGAUGACUUGUGGCUGGGGGUGAAAGGCCAAUCAAACCGGGAGAUAGCUGGUUCUCCCCGAAAGCUAUUUAGGUAGCGCCUCGUGAAUUCAUCUCCGGGGGUAGAGCACUGUUUCGGCAAGGGGGUCAUCCCGACUUACCAACCCGAUGCAAACUGCGAAUACCGGAGAAUGUUAUCACGGGAGACACACGGCGGGUGCUAACGUCCGUCGUGAAGAGGGAAACAACCCAGACCGCCAGCUAAGGUCCCAAAGUCAUGGUUAAGUGGGAAACGAUGUGGGAAGGCCCAGACAGCCAGGAUGUUGGCUUAGAAGCAGCCAUCAUUUAAAGAAAGCGUAAUAGCUCACUGGUCGAGUCGGCCUGCGCGGAAGAUGUAACGGGGCUAAACCAUGCACCGAAGCUGCGGCAGCGACGCUUAUGCGUUGUUGGGUAGGGGAGCGUUCUGUAAGCCUGUGAAGGUGUACUGUGAGG
Molecule: ribosomal RNA, 880 nt
Filed under: Escherichia coli
Lineage: Bacteria; Pseudomonadati; Pseudomonadota; Gammaproteobacteria; Enterobacterales; Enterobacteriaceae
Description: partial 23S ribosomal RNA
Rfam family: Bacterial large subunit ribosomal RNA
Source: RNAcentral